GAUGAACGCUGGCGGCGUGCCUAAUACAUGCAAGUCGAGCGAACAGACGAGGAGCUUGCUUCUCUGAUGUUAGCGGCGGACGGGUGAGUAACACGUGGAUAACCUACCUAUAAGACUGGGAUAACUUCGGGAAACCGGAGCUAAUACCGGAUAAUAUUUUGAACCGCAUGGUUCAAUAGUGAAAGACGGUUUUGCUGUCACUUAUAGAUGGAUCCGCGCUGCAUUAGCUAGUUGGUAAGGUAACGGCUUACCAAGGCAACGAUGCAUAGCCGACCUGAGAGGGUGAUCGGCCACACUGGAACUGAGACACGGUCCAGACUCCUACGGGAGGCAGCAGUAGGGAAUCUUCCGCAAUGGGCGAAAGCCUGACGGAGCAACGCCGCGUGAGUGAUGAAGGUCUUCGGAUCGUAAAACUCUGUUAUUAGGGAAGAACAUAUGUGUAAGUAACUAUGCACAUCUUGACGGUACCUAAUCAGAAAGCCACGGCUAACUACGUG
This 497-nucleotide ribosomal RNA is filed under the name uncultured bacterium. Its description in RNAcentral is "partial 16S ribosomal RNA". It matches the Rfam family "Bacterial small subunit ribosomal RNA", at positions 28 to 507 of the family's 1533-position model. The record is from RNAcentral.